UUUCUUUCUUUCUUUCUUUCUUUCUUUCUUUCUUUCUUUCUUCUUUCUUUCUUCCUUUCUUCUUUAAGGAGGCAUGCUAGAGAAACAGUAACUCAUUUUAAAAUCUGGCACCUGGAAUGAAAUUUAUGGGCAAAAACACCUUUAUACAAAAAGUUUAUGGCUUCCCACAGAACGCAGUGAGAUUAGAAUUGAGCGACUGUAACAAAGGGUGAUUUGGUGAUUUUGUAGGGUUUUUCUGUUUUUUUUUUCUUUUUUUUUUUUUCUGGAGGGGAAAACAGAUGAUUUAGAAAGUGUUAGGAACAUAUCAAGCCCCAGGGAAAGAAAAACGUUUGAUUGGUAUUAAUUAAAACACUGCUAAUAUAUUCUAAUAAAAUCAGAUUUAACAUUCUAAACUAAUCCGCCUAGCAUGUCAAAGGCAAAGAAAAGUAUUAUCUAUCUUAUUUGCAUCUGGGCAACUCGAAUGCAUUUGCUCAUUCGGCAGAAUUAAUUUCUAUCACCAGUCUAUUUAAUCUCCUCACAGAUUUAAGCAAACUUAUUCUUUCAGGCUAAAAGGGCCCAGGGUGGGGAAACCAUGGACGGUAUUUGGAAGAGCAGUGACUGUAUUUGGGGCCCAUUUUCUGGCUGACCAUAGUCUUUUCUCUUCAUUCGUUAUAAUGGGAUGUGGAGAACGGCAGAGAUUGCAGAGUGAUAAACGGCUCAGGGAGUCUUUUUUUUUUUUCUUCUUCCUCCUUUCUCUCCUUAUAUUAUACCUGGUGGCUUAUUUAAAAAAUUUGGUUGCUAAAUUUUAACAAUGGCAUUUAUUUAGUGCUGCCAACCUGUUCAUGAACAUCUAAUUUUUGUUUUCUAAUUUCAGAACCUAUAUCAUCACAGAUUUCUAAUGGAAAAUAAAUAGAUAGAUAGAUAAACAAAUAAAGGUACUUAUACCAAAAACCCAUUAUUUUUCUUAGCUAUUUUCUUUUAAGCUUCAGUCCUAAGGGUCAGUGAGGAAAUAUAAAAUUUCAAUCACCAAGAACUGAGUUCUUUGUUCUGUUUUUAAGUCAAAUAUCUCUUUGGGAGAAUUCCAUAUUUUCAUGGAGCAUGGAGUUUCAGCUCUUUAUUGCUAAGCUCUCCCGACUGAUAACAUCAUCCUCAGAUGGUAUUAUGGCCAAAAUAUUUUGCCUGAAUAUUAGUCUCCUGAACCUGAUAGCCCAUGCAAAUAUGAACCUAACACACACACACACACACAAAGAUGAAUGGGCCGGAAAUGCUGAGGCCCGUAUGGGUGUGUUUCUAUAAGGAGGGAGUCUGCAGGCUGUGGGGAGGUAGACUGCCUGCAGUCUGCAUCACGGAGGUGGCUGCAGAGAUCUUUCUCCAUUGCCUUUUCAAGUCUUCAAGGUAAAAGAGCAACUGCAGUUUGGUUUCACUUGUAUUGUUCCAUAAUCCAGGCAAUAAAUGCUAAUUAGUAAUGCUCAAGGAUCCGACCAUUCAGAGUAAUUAUCAUAAUUUACUUCUUCCUUGUUAAAGACAUUCCUUGCUGAUUUU
RNAcentral lists this long non-coding RNA (1521 nucleotides) under Mus musculus (house mouse). RNAcentral describes it as "long non-coding RNA chr9:41584673-41586194". Lineage: Eukaryota; Metazoa; Chordata; Mammalia; Rodentia; Muridae. The record is from RNAcentral.